RNAcentral lists this transfer RNA (88 nucleotides) under bacterium. RNAcentral describes it as "tRNA-Ser". It matches the Rfam family "tRNA". Rfam says of the family: Transfer RNA (tRNA) molecules are approximately 80 nucleotides in length. The record is from RNAcentral. RNAcentral also lists the same sequence under 2 other names.
GGAGAGGUGGCCGAGUGGUUUAAGGCGCUCGCCUGGAACGCGAGUUGGGUUCACGCCCUCGCAGGUUCGAAUCCUGUCCUCUCCGCUA